This 68-nucleotide transfer RNA is filed under the name Salmo salar (Atlantic salmon). It matches the Rfam family "tRNA". From Rfam's summary of the family: Transfer RNA (tRNA) molecules are approximately 80 nucleotides in length. Their secondary structure includes four short double-helical elements and three loops (D, anti-codon, and T loops). Further hydrogen bonds mediate the characteristic L-shaped molecular structure. tRNAs have two regions of fundamental functional importance: the anti-codon, which is responsible for specific mRNA codon recognition, and the 3' end, to which the tRNAs corresponding amino acid is attached (by aminoacyl-tRNA synthetases). tRNAs cope with the degeneracy of the genetic code in two manners: having more than one tRNA (with a specific anti-codon) for a particular amino acid; and 'wobble' base-pairing, i.e. permitting non-standard base-pairing at the 3rd anti-codon position. The record is from Rfam by way of RNAcentral. Lineage: Eukaryota; Metazoa; Chordata; Actinopteri; Salmoniformes; Salmonidae.
CCCUUUAGCUCAGUUGGUAGAGCAUGGUGUUUGCAACGCCAGGGUUAUGGGUUCGAUUCCCACGGGGG